Cordylochernes scorpioides is the source of this 73-nucleotide non-coding RNA. The record is from the annotation of a GenBank genome assembly. Lineage: Eukaryota; Metazoa; Arthropoda; Arachnida; Pseudoscorpiones; Chernetidae.
GUCCAGGGGCGGGAAUCGAACCCACAACCUUCUGCUUACCGGGCAGGUGCCAUGUCCACUUUGCUACCCUGGA